AGCAGUAGCCGCGGGAAAACGAAGGGUGCAAGCGUUACUCGGAUUUACUGGGCGUAAAGCGUGCGUAGGUGGUGGUUUAAGUCCGUUGUGAAAGCCCUGGGCUCAACCUGGGAAUUGCAGUGGAUACUGGGUCACUAGAGUGUGGUAGAGGAUAGUGGAAUUUCCGGUGUAGCAGUGAAAUGCGUAGAGAUCGGAAGGAACAUCUGUGGCGAAGGCGACUAUCUGGGCCAACACUGACACUGAGGCACGAAAGCGUGGGGAGCAAACAGGAUUAGAUACCCCCGUAGUCCCUGUCUCUUAUAC
This 303-nucleotide ribosomal RNA is filed under the name uncultured bacterium. RNAcentral describes it as "partial 16S ribosomal RNA". It matches the Rfam family "Bacterial small subunit ribosomal RNA", at positions 507 to 807 of the family's 1533-position model. The record is from RNAcentral.